UACGAAGGGGGCUAGCGUUGCUCGGAAUCACUGGGCGUAAAGCGCACGUAGGCGGACUCUUAAGUCGGUGGUGAAAUCCUGGAGCUCAACUCCAGAACUGCCUUCGAUACUGAGAGUCUCGAGUCCGGGAGAGGUGAGUGGAACUGCGAGUGUAGAGGUGAAAUUCGUAGAUAUUCGCAAGAACACCAGUGGCGAAGGCGGCUCACUGGCCCGGUACUGACGCUGAGGAGCGAAAGCCAGGGGAGCAAACGGG
Molecule: ribosomal RNA, 253 nt
Filed under: uncultured bacterium
Lineage: Bacteria
Description: partial 16S ribosomal RNA
Rfam family: Bacterial small subunit ribosomal RNA
Source: RNAcentral